Molecule: ribosomal RNA, 253 nt
Filed under: uncultured bacterium
Lineage: Bacteria
Description: partial 16S ribosomal RNA
Rfam family: Bacterial small subunit ribosomal RNA
Source: RNAcentral
UACGUAGGGGGCAAGCGUUGUCCGGAGUUACUGGGCGUAAAGCGCACGUAGGCGGCUUUGUAAGUAAGAGGUGAAAGCCCAGAGCUCAACUCUGGAAUUGCCUUUUAGACUGCAUCGCUUGAAUCAUGGAGAGGUCAGUGGAAUUCCGAGUGUAGAGGUGAAAUUCGUAGAUAUUCGGAAGAACACCAGUGGCGAAGGCGGCUGACUGGACAUGUAUUGACGCUGAGGUGCGAAGCGUGGGGAGCAAAACAGG